AACCGACUAGUGUUGCAAAACUAGCGGAUGAGCUGUGGAUAGGGGUGAAAGGCUAAACAAACUUGGAAAUAGCUGGUUCUCUCCGAAAACUAUUUAGGUAGUGCCUCAAGUAUCACCAUCGGGGGUAGAGCACUGUUAUGGCUAGGGGGUCAUUGCGACUUACCAAACCAUUGCAAACUCCGAAUACCGAUGAGUGCGAGCUUGGGAGACAGACGUCGGGUGCUAACGUCCGGCGUCAAGAGGGAAACAACCCAGACCGCCAGCUAAGGUCCCAAAGAUUGGCUAAGUGGAAAACGAAGUGGGAAGGCUAAAACAGUCAGGAUGUUGGCUUAGAAGC
RNAcentral lists this ribosomal RNA (337 nucleotides) under Heterosigma akashiwo. RNAcentral's name for it is "partial Bacterial large subunit ribosomal RNA". It matches the Rfam family "Bacterial large subunit ribosomal RNA", at positions 777 to 1113 of the family's 2925-position model. The record is from RNAcentral. Lineage: Eukaryota; Raphidophyceae; Chattonellales; Chattonellaceae.